GCUCGUCCUGGUUUGGCCUCACUUCUCGUCAGGUUCACCAGAGGAAAACAACAAAAUGUUUCUCCUCCCUGCUGUGGCUCUGUGCUGUGUGAGCUCAGCGCUGGCUGCCAUGACAACAGAGCUCAAACAGGACAGUUUGUCACUAACCAGGAGAGUUGGAGAAAGUGUCUCCUUCAGCUGUGAACGUAUAGACCUGUGUAGUUUAGGUGCUGGUUAUGCGUUCUGGCUCCAGAAAAAAGACAACGAAACAUUCACAGGGAUUCUGAGGAUUGAUAGGGGUAGCAUGAACAAAGCUGUUUUCAAUCAUCCUCAGAAAGAUGAUUUCUCAGCUGUGAUCAAACAGAACAGCACUGAGCUGCAGAUCCAGAAGGUUAAUUCCUCUCAUUCAGCCACAUACUACUUCUCCUGUUUGUUAACACCCACAGUGAGAAAUGAUCCGAGCAGGCUGAACAAAAACCAACAGAUGAGCAGAAGUCAGAUAGUGUUUGUGACAGGAAGACAGCAGUAAACCACAGCUCACUGAGUCAUUCACCUCCAUCACACACAGGAUGAACUGAGGGAUUAUUUUACUGGUGUCUGGAUUGAUUCUUCAUUUUAUUUCUUUGUUUUUCUCAAUCAGAUAUUUCAGUAAGGUCAUGGUUAGUCCACACUGUGAGGACAAAGAGAGAAGAGCAGAAACACAUUGACAAAAUAAAUAAAUACAAUAAAA
This is a non-coding RNA of Labrus bergylta (ballan wrasse), 709 nucleotides long. The record is from RefSeq and is a predicted model, not a curated record. NCBI's taxonomy places the organism in Eukaryota, Metazoa, Chordata, Actinopteri, Labriformes, Labridae.